Molecule: ribosomal RNA, 433 nt
Filed under: uncultured bacterium
Lineage: Bacteria
Description: partial 16S ribosomal RNA
Rfam family: Bacterial small subunit ribosomal RNA
Source: RNAcentral
AACGAACGCUGGCGGCAUGCCUAACACAUGCAAGUCGAACGAGACCUUCGGGUCUAGUGGCGCACGGGUGCGUCACGCGUGGGAACCUGCCCUUAGGUUCGGAAUAACUCCCCGACAGGGGUGCUAAUACCGGAUAAUUUCUUCGGACCAAAGAUUUAUCGCCUUUGGAUGGGCCCGCGUUGGAUUAGCUAGUUGGUAGGGUAAAAGCCUACCAAGGCGACGAUCCAUAGCUGGUCUGAGAGGAUGAUCAGCCACACUGGGACUGAGACACGGCCCAGACUCCUACGGGAGGCAGCAGUGGGGAAUAUUGGACAAUGGGCGAAAGCCUGAUCCAGCAAUGCCGCGUGAGUGAUGAAGGCCUUAGGGUUGUAAAGCUCUUUUACCCGGGAUGAUAAUGACAGUACCGGGAGAAUAAGCUCCGGCUAACUCCGUG